RNAcentral lists this ribosomal RNA (464 nucleotides) under uncultured bacterium. RNAcentral's name for it is "bacterial SSU rRNA". It matches the Rfam family "Bacterial small subunit ribosomal RNA", at positions 8 to 507 of the family's 1533-position model. The record is from RNAcentral.
AGAGUUUGAUCCUGGCUCAGAACGAACGCUGGCGGCAUGCCUAACACAUGCAAGUCGAACGGGAUCCGAGCUUCGGUUCGGUGAGAGUGGCGGACGGGUGAGUAACGCGUGGGAACCUGCCCAGUGGUGGGGGGAUAACUGCGGGAAACUGCAGCUAAUACCGCAUGAGCCCGAGAGGGGAAAGAUUUAUCGCCAUUGGAGGGGCCCGCGUUCGAUUAGGUAGUUGGUGAGGUAACGGCUCACCAAGCCUUCGAUCGAUAGCUGGUCUGAGAGGAUGAUCAGCCACACUGGGACUGAGAUACGGCCCAGACUCCUACGGGAGGCAGCAGUGGGGAAUAUUGGACAAUGGGGGCAACCCUGAUCCAGCAAUGCCGCGUGAGUGAUGAAGGCCUUCGGGUUGUAAAGCUCUUUUGCCAGGGACGAUGAUGACGGUACCUGGAGAAUAAGCCCCGGCUAACUUCGUG